CUGUGUAGGCCGCAGUGACGCCUGAACUCGAGUAGGGCCCAAGCCAGCCAGGAAGGAGGAGGCAGCCAGAGUGUUCUCUGCAGCAGAAGACCCCUUGCGGCCCUGCUUAACCCAGACCAGCAUUUGCCAGUGUUUCUGCUUUUCUUCAACAAUAAACUAACCAGGCUGAAGGCAUUGGAAAGCAAUUCUGCUUCCCCUUCAUUCCUCCCAGUUACUCCUUGAAGCUGAGGAUUGAAGCAAGAUGUCCAGGUGAAUAUGGAGAUUCCAACAUGAGUGAAACAUCUGUGGAAUUUGAAAGGAAGCAAGAAGAAACUUCAUAAGUGAAGACAUCCUUCAGCUUCGUACUGAAUCUACAAUGCUAGCUCAGCACUUCAGAGUACUCUGCAAAGCAAUUACUUGAGCCCCCUUUGCUAAGCCUAGUUUUGGAAGUUGUGAUCCCAAACAGCACCAGUUGUUCAGCCUUCUUCAGAUUGGAGUACCUGUCCAGGUUCUCUUGGUCCACCUGUUCAGGGCCUGAGUCUUUAUGCUUUGACACUGUCACACCCUCGCCCACGGAUAGUGAUGAGAAGUGGGAGGCUGGCAACCCUCCAGCGAGCAAAGAAGCACCUGAGAUGGAAAGCUCAGUUGUCGGGCCACAGGAGGUAGCUGAGAUGGGCCAGGGUGAAGGUUCAGGACAAGAAGGUCCAUCGGGAGUAGAGGAGACUGGGGGUGGAAGGCCAAACCCUGAGCUGGACGACGAUCAACCAUUAACCCCCAAGAGCGGAGACGUGCAAAACGCCAACAGCAGGUGCGGGCUCUUAGAAAAAGUCAGCGCCUCCUCGGCAGGCAAGAUAAGCACUGAAUCUCUAACAGCUGGCUGAGGGAAGAGAGCAAUUAAGCCAAGGACUAUAAAUCAGCCGGCAGGCAACGAACAAGCUGCUGGAAAUAAUGUGUCAGUUGAGUUUGCUGCAUACCAAGCCUUGUGUUACAUGGAAUUCCCAGAUUUGUGGUGGAACUCUUGAGUCCCAGGCUUCCCCUGCUUGUAACCUGAUUCCUGAGCUGGGCACUGGAUGACUUCAUCCAGGAUGAGCUGCUGGUGACGCCUUGGACCCUGGGCUCAGGACGUUUGAGAUCUGGUGAGCAACCUGGGUUGUGGGGGACCAAGUUUGGACUGGAUACUCUGUAGUGAUUUGUUCUUUUGUGCUUGUUUGCAGACGCGGAGUGACUCCUGACCUACCAGCUUCUCCGGAUAGAGACCAGAGACCAGACUGCGGACAGACAAGCUCGUGAUAGGCACUCCAGUCAUGAAUCUUGUGCUAAUCAUUCCAAUGAAUCAAUCUGCAUUCUGUGUUCAUCUCACUUACUUUUAGCUGGGCUUCAGCCAAUUCUUUCAGUUUCAAAGCUUCUCCACAGGGGAUCUGUUACAAAAAACCUUUCUCCUUUCAUAGAGCUUUAUUUUUAAAGUGCAAUGUAAUUUUACCUCUAUAGUCACUUGUUGACUUCCAACAUUAUGCUAAAACAUUUUGCAAGACAACCGUUACAUAUAUAUAUAUAAAUAAAAUGGGAGCUAUAGCCAGCAAUC
Long non-coding RNA from Hemicordylus capensis (graceful crag lizard), 1561 nucleotides. RefSeq lists it as uncharacterized. The transcript has 5 exons. The record is from RefSeq and is a predicted model, not a curated record. Lineage: Eukaryota; Metazoa; Chordata; Lepidosauria; Squamata; Cordylidae.